AGUGAACGCUGGCGGUAGGCCUAACACAUGCAAGUCGAACGGCAGCACAGUAAGAGCUUGCUCUUACGGGUGGCGAGUGGCGGACGGGUGAGGAAUACAUCGGAAUCUACUUUUUCGUGGGGGAUAACGUAGGGAAACUUACGCUAAUACCGCAUACGACCUACGGGUGAAAGCAGGGGAUCUUCGGACCUUGCGCGAUUGAAUGAGCCGAUGUCGGAUUAGCUAGUUGGCGGGGUAAAGGCCUACCAAGGCGACGAUCCGUAGCUGGUCUGAGAGGAUGAUCAGCCACACUGGAACUGAGACACAGUCCAGACUCCUACGGGAGGCAGCAGUGGGGAAUAUUGGACAAUGGGCGCAAGCCUGAUCCAGCCAUACCGCGUGGGUGAAGAAGGCCUUCGGGUUGUAAAGCCCUUUUGUUGGGAAAGAAAAGCAGCAGGUUAAUACCCCGCUGUUCUGACGGUACCCAAAGAAUAAGCACCGGCUAACUUCGUG
This 492-nucleotide ribosomal RNA is filed under the name uncultured bacterium. RNAcentral describes it as "partial 16S ribosomal RNA". It matches the Rfam family "Bacterial small subunit ribosomal RNA", at positions 29 to 507 of the family's 1533-position model. The record is from RNAcentral.